CCUACGUGUGGCAGCAGUGAGGAAUAUUGGACAAUGGGCGCGAGCCUGAACCAGCCACGUAGCGUGAGGGAUGACUGCCCUCCGGGUUGUAAACUCCUUCUAUAAAGGAGUAAAGUGCGGCACGUGUGCCUUUUUGUAUGUCCUUUAUGAAUAAGGCUCGGCUAACUCCGCGCCAGCAGCCGCGGUAAUACGGAGGAUCAGAGCGUUAUCCGGAUUUAUUGGGGUGCAAGGGACCGUAGAUGGGUUGUUAAGUUAGUUGGGAAAGUUUGCGGCUUAACCGUGAAAAUGCCAUUGAUACUGGGAGGCUUGAGUGCAGGUGAGGUAGGUGGAAUUCGUAGUGUAGCGGUGAAAUGCGUAGAUAUCACGAAGAACUCCGAUUGCGAAGGCAGCUUACUAAACUGCAACUGACAUUGAUGCUCGAAAGUGUGGGGAGCAAACAGGAUUAGAUACCCUUGUAGUC
Molecule: ribosomal RNA, 460 nt
Filed under: uncultured bacterium
Lineage: Bacteria
Description: partial 16S ribosomal RNA
Rfam family: Bacterial small subunit ribosomal RNA
Source: RNAcentral